Molecule: long non-coding RNA, 650 nt
Organism: Ceratitis capitata (Mediterranean fruit fly)
Lineage: Eukaryota; Metazoa; Arthropoda; Insecta; Diptera; Tephritidae
Exons: 2
Source: RefSeq, a predicted model, not a curated record
CACCGUUUAACAAAUGAUUAUGUUAAGCAAUUCGCCUACGUAUAUAAACUGGCAAUCAAGUUGUUUGCAAUUUUCUGUCAAAUGACAGUCGGGAGGCAAUCACUGAUUGUUGUAUCCACCGCGUAACUUUUUUCCGAAGGUGAUCCUUAUCUCGGAGCAUGACAUGAUUGUUUUAUUUGGGGCUCCUCUGCUAUCAUGCAUAGUAGUUUUGAAAGUGAAAAUCAUAAUAUGACUUUUCCACGGCAUUAUGAAUUACAUUGUUCGUUAUCGCAAUUACGAACACGAAUUAUCCCACUCACACGGCACCCAAUUUGACAGUUUUUUGUUUCACUGGUUUACUUUUUUGCUCCAUUUUAAAACGCAUGGAAAACGAAAGCUCUUAGUAAAAAUUAAAAAAAUAUCGAAUUGAAUUGGUUAUGUAAGUGCCAGCCAGUAGAAUUCGACGAAAAAAUUCUGUUAUAUCCACGUAAUUUGGCGUAAUUCGCGAAUGACGAAUCAAGUGAUUCAGCAUGUAUUUGGAGUGCGAAUUACGAUUGAGAGAGCAAUCAACAUAAUUGGUGUGACGUGAAAAUGCAAUAUAACAUGUUUUUGUUUUGGAAAACUUUGUAAGCCAGCCCAACUCAUUUAAUAAAAAGAAUUACUAUCAUGAA